AGUUCUCCCUGAGACUUAAAGUCUCCUGAAGGAACGUUGAAGACGACGACGUUGAUAGGCCGGGUGUGUAAGCGCAGCGAUGCGUUGAGCUAACCGGUACUAAUGAACCGUGAGGCUUAACCUUACAACGCCGAAG
RNAcentral lists this ribosomal RNA (136 nucleotides) under Salmonella enterica subsp. enterica serovar Rubislaw. RNAcentral's name for it is "partial 23S ribosomal RNA". It matches the Rfam family "Bacterial large subunit ribosomal RNA", at positions 2807 to 2925 of the family's 2925-position model. The record is from RNAcentral. Lineage: Bacteria; Pseudomonadati; Pseudomonadota; Gammaproteobacteria; Enterobacterales; Enterobacteriaceae. RNAcentral also lists the same sequence under 4 other names.